GAUCUUCCUCUUCGCUCUCUCCGCCGCCACCGUCUCCGCUCGCCCUUGCCGUACCUUCAUCAUCUCCUCCUACUCGUUCCGCAACCCUUCCUCCAACACCUUCGCCACCAUCACCGAGAUCCGAUCCAUCUCCCCUCUCUUCUCCAACGACAAACCCUACGGAAUCUUCUUGGAUCGCCCGAUCCAACACCAGAACCUUGACACCCAGUCUCACGCGUCCCAUCCACGCGGCCCUCUAGGGUUUUCUACCGACGCCGAUUUCUCUUCCCUCCGCGAUCGUACUAAGGAUAUCCUCAGCGUCGCACUUGC
This 309-nucleotide long non-coding RNA is filed under the name Lathyrus oleraceus (garden pea). Its description in RNAcentral is "Pisum sativum (pea) long non-coding RNA (PSAT_LNC019501)". Lineage: Eukaryota; Viridiplantae; Streptophyta; Magnoliopsida; Fabales; Fabaceae. The record is from RNAcentral.